UACGAAGGGGGCGAGCGUUGUUCGGAUUUACUGGGCGUAAAGGGCGCGUAGGCGGCGCCGCAAGUCGCGUGUGAAAGCCCCGGGCUCAACCUGGGAGGUGCGCGCGAGACUGUGGUGCUGGAGUUCGGGAGAGGAGCGUGGAAUUCCCAGUGUAGAGGUGAAAUGCGUAGAUAUUGGGAGGAACACCAGUGGCGAAGGCGGCUCACUGGACCGGUACUGACGCUGAGGCGCGAAAGCGUGGGGAGCAAACGGGG
RNAcentral lists this ribosomal RNA (254 nucleotides) under uncultured bacterium. RNAcentral describes it as "partial 16S ribosomal RNA". It matches the Rfam family "Bacterial small subunit ribosomal RNA", at positions 524 to 777 of the family's 1533-position model. The record is from RNAcentral.